Molecule: ribosomal RNA, 335 nt
Filed under: uncultured bacterium
Lineage: Bacteria
Description: bacterial SSU rRNA
Rfam family: Bacterial small subunit ribosomal RNA
Source: RNAcentral
GACGAACGCUGGCGGCGUGCUUCAUACAUGCAAGUCGAACGAGAAGCUAGAGCUUGCUCUAGUGGAAAGUGGCGGACGGGUGAGUAAUAUGUAGGAAAUCUGCCCUAGAGAGGGGGGACAACAGAAGGAAACUUCUGCUAAUACCCCAUAUGAGCUUGGUUGAAAUACCAAUCUUGAAAACUCCGGUGCUCUAGGAUGAGCCUGCACCUGAUUAGCUUGUUGGUGGUGUAAUGGACUACCAAGGCGACGAUCAGUAGCUGGUUUGAGAGGGUGAACGGCCACAUUGGGACUGAGACACGGCCCAAACCUCCUACGGGAGGCAGCAGUGGGGAAUA